AGACGGGGCCCGCACAAGCGGUGGAGCAUGUGGUUUAAUUCGAUGCAACGCGAAGAACCUUACCUGGGCUUGACAUCCCGAGAAUCCCCUGGAAACAGGGGAGUGCCCUUCGGGGAGCUCGGAGACAGGUGCUGCAUGGCUGUCGUCAGCUCGUGUCGUGAGAUGUUGGGUUAAGUCCCGCAACGAGCGCAACCCUUGUGUUUAGUUGCCAACAGGUUAAGCUGUGCACUCUAAACAGACUGCCGUGGAUAACACGGAGGAAGGUGGGGAUGACGUCAAAUCAUCAUGCCCCUUAUGAUCUGGGCUACACACGUGCUACAAUGGUCGGUACAACGGGCAGCGAAAGAGUAAUCUGGAGCGAAUCCUAAAAAGCCGAUCCCAGUUCGGAUUGUGGGCUGAAACUCGCCCACAUGAAGUUGGAGUUGCUAGUAAUCGCGAAUCAGAAUGUCGCGGUGAAUGCGUUCCCGGGUCUU
RNAcentral lists this ribosomal RNA (473 nucleotides) under uncultured Fusibacter sp. Its description in RNAcentral is "bacterial SSU rRNA". It matches the Rfam family "Bacterial small subunit ribosomal RNA", at positions 916 to 1381 of the family's 1533-position model. The record is from RNAcentral. Lineage: Bacteria; Bacillati; Bacillota; Clostridia; Eubacteriales; Fusibacteraceae.